Molecule: non-coding RNA, 1622 nt
Organism: Cervus elaphus (red deer)
Lineage: Eukaryota; Metazoa; Chordata; Mammalia; Artiodactyla; Cervidae
Source: the annotation of a RefSeq genome assembly
UCUGGAUGGAUCUCCCUGUUGUGAACAGUUCACUUAGGAUCAUUUCUGAUUUGAGCCUCUGGGGGAAGGGGUGUGGCCCCCUGAGCGACAGGUCGGCUCUGGGGCGCGGGCAGGGACAGGGACAUCUCAGAAGGACUGCCUGGAGAGCCCCUCUCCCCUCUCAUCCACACUCAGACCAGAGGGCCCUCUGCCUGCCCCGCCCCCGCAAUGGGCCCCUGCCUCCUGGGCUGUGUGGUCUUCUGUCUCCUGCAGGCAGGGGCGGUCCACGCUGGUGUCACUCAGGACCCCAGAUUCCAGGUCGUGAGGACAGGACAGAGGGUGACACUUAAUUGUACUCAGGAUCUGGGUCAUAACUAUAUGUACUGGUACCGACAAGACCCGGGACUCGGGCUGAGGCUGAUCCAUUACUCAACUGUGGCUUCCUCCACGGUGCAAGGAGAUGUGCCCGACGGGUACAGCGUCUCCAGACCAAGCACAGAGAACUUCCCUCUCACGCUGAAGUCUGCCAACCGCUCCCAGACAUCUGUGUACUUCUGCGCCAGCAGUGACUCCACGGCGCUGCACGACCACCUCCUCUCUGUGCAAAAAGACAGAUGAGCGCCCUGCAGCCUGAACACUGGGGAGCCCCUUGCAGGCUCCUAGCACCUGGAGCCUCGGAGCCCACAGACACACUGGCAGCAUAGCCAGUAGUUUUAGAUCUUUGCUGGCACAGACCUGACAACAGGGCCUCAUGGACAAGUGUCCACUUUCAUUCUCUGUCUUUUCACCGUAGCUCCCAUGUGAGCCUAAAGAUGCUAGCCAGCUCUGACUCCUAGUAUCAGUCUGAACAUGAGGCCUCCAGAGGGGAAGGGUGUUUGGAAGUCAGGUACAUCUACACCCUCUUGUCUCUCCCUGGGCACCACAUGCCUGUCGCUGUGGAAGUUUCUCCCCCAGGCUGGCCCCUGUGUAGUCUCUGCUCUUGUCCAACUUACCAGAUGUGUGGUCUUUCCUCUCUCACCUUCCGGGCCCUCGUUCCAUCCCUUCUCUACUUCAGCCUUGAUUCUCCUCCCUCAUCUGGGUCAAGUCCUAGCCCACUACUCAGGGAACCUUGUAAUGAUCCCUAAGUGGUCGUGUUUGAGUAGGCUCCCUGGGGUCCUCAAAGAGAAUAAAACCUCAAUUAAUUAUUAAUCAUCCAUAAUUCCUUUGUAGUCCCUCAGGAGAAGGAGAGGCAAACUGUGUGUGUAUGUAUUCUCCACCACUGCCUGUCUUUAGCAUCUAAAUAGCCUAGACCCUGAUGUUGGCAAAGACUGAAAGCAAAAGGAGAAGGGGGUGGCAGAGAAAGAGGUGGUUAGAUAGCAUCACCAACACAAAAGACAUGGAUUUGAGCAAACUCUGGGAGACAGUGAAGAAUAGGGGAGCUUGGUGCAUUGCAAUGCAUGGGGUCUCAAAGAGUUGGACUGGAGUUAGCAAUUGAACACCACCACCACCAACAAAAACUAACCCAAGUUUGUAGCAUUUCCCUCAUCACAAUCUUCUAAAAGCCAAAGUAUUAAAUAUUUCCUGCAUGAACACCUUUCUUUUCUCUUGAAAUACAAAAUCAUAAAUCAUCUAAGGAAGGCUGGUUUGUGAGUUUGUGUUUCUAA